RNAcentral lists this ribosomal RNA (542 nucleotides) under Bifidobacterium angulatum. RNAcentral's name for it is "bacterial SSU rRNA". It matches the Rfam family "Bacterial small subunit ribosomal RNA", at positions 157 to 711 of the family's 1533-position model. Lineage: Bacteria; Bacillati; Actinomycetota; Actinomycetes; Bifidobacteriales; Bifidobacteriaceae. The record is from RNAcentral.
CGGGUGGUAAUGCCGGAUGCUCCAGUCCAUCGCAUGGUGGUCUGGGAAAGAUUUCAUCGGUAUGGGAUGGGGUCGCGUCCUAUCAGGUAGUCGGCGGGGUAACGGCCCACCGAGCCUACGACGGGUAGCCGGCCUGAGAGGGCGACCGGCCACAUUGGGACUGAGAUACGGCCCAGACUCCUACGGGAGGCAGCAGUGGGGAAUAUUGCACAAUGGGCGCAAGCCUGAUGCAGCGACGCCGCGUGCGGGAUGGAGGCCUUCGGGUUGUAAACCGCUUUUGUCGGGGAGCAAGCCUUCGGGUGAGUGUACCCUUCGAAUAAGCACCGGCUAACUACGUGCCAGCAGCCGCGGUAAUACGUAGGGUGCAAGCGUUAUCCGGAAUUAUUGGGCGUAAAGAGCUCGUAGGCGGUUCGUCGCGUCCGGUGUGAAAGUCCAUCGCUUAACGGUGGAUCUGCGCCGGGUACGGGCGGGCUGGAGUGCGGUAGGGGAGACUGGAAUUCCCGGUGUAACGGUGGAAUGUGUAGAUAUCGGAAAGAACACCA